UUUUCUAAUUUUAUUUUAUUUUUAUUUUUAUUUUAAUUUAUCUCUCUCUUUUUUAUUUUGUCCUGUAACAAGGUAGGGACCUUGCCUCAGUUGUCGGUACUUCUAAUGUGUGUGUGUGUAUUUGCAGGAAAGGAGAAACAGGUCAAGGGAGGCGAUUCCAAACAGGCCAUAGGCCAGGGGGCUUUCUAACGUAAUCUAAGAGGGCGCCCACGUGAGCUAGUCCGAGCGUAUCACGGACACUCGUGAGGACAUCUUCCAUGGAUUCACCUAUAUGAUUGUGGAAGUGGAGGCCGCUUCGUAUGGGAAUUGGGCAUUAUCUAAAGCGCUCAUGAAACAGGAUCGGCAUAAGGCUUUUAAAUGUGCAAGCCUUUUGGAAAACCACAGUUUUUUAAAUAGAUUGUGUGGUAUGUGGGAGGCUUAUCGAUAAAGGACACAGUUCAAGGUGUAUCCACUCACUGUCUUAAUAAGCGUUCUGCAUAACACUACGUAAAGAUUCAAGUCCAAAAGAUACCUUCACUUAUGUAUUCGUCUUUCUCAAUUUGUUUGGAGAGAAGUUUUGUUAUUUUAAAAUAGGUGGGGGAUUGUUAGCUUUUUUACAAAGUAAUUGUUUCAAAACAACUCUAAUUUUGCUGGUCUUUAUGAAUAUUGUGGUCCUUAGAGACCACCCUUCUUUGAAGCUCACUUUUGAACUCAACUUUUGUUUUUUGAGUACCACGUUUUAUGCUUUAAUGACAUGUUGAACCCCCUGCCUUUAUCUUCUUGACACGUCAUAAAUGUGUAAUGAUUAAGCCUCUCUCUCUGUCUCUCAUACACACACACACUAGAAAAGAGAGGCCCUUACGGGCUUAGAAAAGUGAAUGUGGGCUUCCUGUUUACAGGCUUACUGUGAACUCUCUCUUUCAUGUUAAGUGUUUGACGUCUCUCUCUCCUUAAUCAAGCUCAUCGUCCUCAUGUAUCUGCUCUCCAUUGGUAACCUAGCUGAGGAAGCAAAGAAGGAAGAGAAGUUGACAAAAAUUUGAAGUAGAUGUUUUAUAAUCCUAGCCUCGCAUGAGUUUAAGAGUGUUAACCUCCAAUUCUUGAGUGGGCAACUAGACAGUGGUGGCAGGCGGUUGAAGCUCAGGAUCUGACAAGGAACUUUUGAUUGUAGGUGUCUAGUGGCAGUGCCACAAUGUUGUUUAAAUAUGAUACUGUAAUUUUGUUGUCGGGCCUAUAGCGCC
Amborella trichopoda is the source of this 1217-nucleotide non-coding RNA. NCBI's taxonomy places the organism in Eukaryota, Viridiplantae, Streptophyta, Magnoliopsida, Amborellales, Amborellaceae. The record is from RefSeq and is a predicted model, not a curated record.